This is a long non-coding RNA of Eucalyptus grandis, 208 nucleotides long. RefSeq lists it as uncharacterized. The record is from RefSeq and is a predicted model, not a curated record. The transcript is spliced from 4 exons. Lineage: Eukaryota; Viridiplantae; Streptophyta; Magnoliopsida; Myrtales; Myrtaceae.
CAGAUCCCAGCAAGCGCUCUUAGUGUAAUCUUGACAGAUAAAGUUGGAAGAAGACCACUUCUAUUGGUUUCAUCCGCUGGAAUGGGCUUCAGUUGCUUUCUUCUGGGAUUCUCAUUCUUCAUGCAGGACCUGCAGUAUUAGAAGAAAGUCACUCCCAUUUUGGCCUAUGUAUGCAUUUUGGUGUAUUCCAUAACUUACUCACUAGGCA